GGAGGCGGAUGGGUCCUGGUGGGCUCCGCGGUCUUCAAAACCGACGUGGGGCGUGAAGAGCGUCCUGGGUGUGUUCGAUUCGCACACGCCUCCGCCA
Molecule: transfer RNA, 97 nt
Filed under: Coriobacteriia bacterium
Lineage: Bacteria; Bacillati; Actinomycetota; Coriobacteriia
Description: tRNA-Sec
Rfam family: Selenocysteine transfer RNA
Source: RNAcentral